CCCUUAGAUGAUUUGGGCUGCACGCGCGCUACACUGACCCUAACAAUGAGCAACUGUCUGGCCUGAGAUGGCUGGGUAGCCUUUUCAACCCAUGUCAUGAUUGGGCUAGAUUUUUGUAAGUCUUGAUCUCUAACGAGGAAUCCCUAGUAUGCGUGAAUCAUCAAUCCAUGCAGAUUAUGUCCCUGCCCUUUGUACACACCGCCCGUCGCUCCUACUGAUUGGGUGAUCCGGUGAGCUGUUCGGCCAUAGCAAUGUUUCUUGAGCAGGGCAUUGAAUGUUUCGCAAACCUUGCCACUUAGAGGAAGGAGAAGUCGUAACA
Molecule: ribosomal RNA, 319 nt
Filed under: uncultured eukaryote
Lineage: Eukaryota
Description: partial 18S ribosomal RNA
Rfam family: Eukaryotic small subunit ribosomal RNA
Source: RNAcentral